AGCUGCCGUAAGUUUUCCAUUCUGGCAAGACUGACCAGGCGAACGGCAGCGUGUCUCCUGGGUUCACUUUCUCUCCUGUUUUACAGGUCAGUAAUGUGGUCAAAAACAUAAAGAAAUACACAGCUGGACACUGUGAUACUUAGACUUUCAUGACAUAAGACGGGUCUGUGAUAUGUGAUGUAUUACACUGUCGCUAUGUGAGCUACUUUAGCUCUGUAGGAUGUUAUAGCUAGGCUGUAUGCCUGGGUAACGCUAGCAAGCUGUUGCAACUGCGUAUAAUACUCCAUAUAAUAAUAGGAAGCACCAACCCGGUUGGGUUUACAGUUCCUGAUAAACUUGUAGCUUUGUGUUCAUGGCAAAUGUUUUGUAUAAUGUGUCUGUAAAGUGUUCUGAGCCCGCCUGAAGUCAUGUGUAAACUUGCUGUUUCAGUGUUAGAAUCUAACUGGUCUGAAAAAGACAUGAAGCGAGAGAGAGCUAAUAAGAGUACGGCCAACAAAAAUGCUGGCAAGGACAGUAGUGCAGUAAUGUUGAAAGUAGAGUUUCCUUUCUAUGAUAAGACACUACCAUGAUGAUGUGAAUUAUUUUGUUUAUCUGUUUUAUGGGAAAAGAGGUGUAGUUUUCAUUUGUUUCAUUCAUUUCAACCCUUUGUUGUUUUAUGCCAGUGGUGUGGAUUAAUAUUGAAAUGUACUGGUGGAAAACAAGCCAUGUGAGGGAAUGAGCAGUUAUAGUGCAAUUGAGUUACCAAAAGAGUGGAGCAGAUAUGCUCGUGUUGUAUGAAUAAAUUCUGGCAAGACUGACCAGGCGAACGUCAGCGUGUCUCCUGUGUUCACUUUCUCUCCUGUUUUACAGGAUCGUAAUCUGGCUACGCGCCCAUCAUAGUGGGGCCUGUAACAUCACUGAUAUUCAGCGUGUACAGUUGAUGAAAACACUCGCUUGAAUUAUUGAACAAUCUGCACGGACAGCAGCUGUUCAGGAGUCACGCAGGGCGGGAGACACUGUGACGUUUCACAGGCUGACUGCACGCCUGCGACAGCAUGAUGAGGGCACACUGAAACACACCGCAGUUUUGGUUUGCUGCAGGCGGAUGACUUAAGUUUGGCUGUUUCCUUCAUAAAUACCAGCAGGACUCAAAUAGACAUGAGCACUCCACAGAUCAUGGCAACAGCAGCAAGAAGACAUCCAGCGAUGAAGACCAGGUUCAGGUUCAGGUUCAGGUUGUUCCCUGAAGACCACAAAAGAACCUUUUACCUCAGCAUUGUUCACAUUU
Long non-coding RNA from Oreochromis niloticus (Nile tilapia), 1267 nucleotides. RefSeq lists it as uncharacterized. Lineage: Eukaryota; Metazoa; Chordata; Actinopteri; Cichliformes; Cichlidae. The transcript has 7 exons. The record is from RefSeq and is a predicted model, not a curated record.